UCAAGUUAGAAAGGGCAAAGGGCGAAUGCUUGGCACUAGGAGCCGAUGAAGGACGCGAUAAGCUGCGAUAAGCUACGGGGAGCUGCAAAUAAGCCUUGAUCCGUAGAUGUCCGAAUGGGGAAACCCCCUUGAGCUAAUCCUCAAGGAUCCAUUACUGAAUACAUAGGUAAUGAGAAGGGAUACCGGGAGAACUGAACCAUCUAAGUACCCCGAGGAAAAGAAAGAAAACUCGAUUCCCUAAGUAGCGGCGAGCGAACGGGGAAGAGCCUAAACCAUAAAGCUAUGCUUUAUGGGGUUCGGACAACACACAAAAGGACUUUCAAGGAUAGUCGAAGGGAGCUGGAAAGCUCGACCAGAGAGGGUAAGAGUCCCGUAGACGAAAUUUGAGGAAGCCGAGUGUUGCUCCAAAGUACCACGGAACACGUGAAACUCUGUGGGAACGUGGGGGGACCACCCCCCAAGGCUAAAUACUCCCUAGUGACCGAUAGCGAACAGUACCGUGAGGGAAAGGUGAAAAGAACCCCGGGAGGGGAGUGAAAGAGAACCUGAAACCCUUUGCUUACAAGUUGUGGGAGCACGUUAAGGUGUGACCGCGUACUUUUUGUAGAACGGGCCAACGAGUUAUGGUAACAAGCAAGGUUAAGUACUCAAGGUACGGAGCCGAAGGGAAACCGAGUCUUAAGAGGGCGAAUAGUUUGUUGUCAUAGACCCGAAACCGAGCGACCUAUCCAUGGACAGGGUGAAGCGAAAGUAAAAUUUCGUGGAGGCCCGAACCGCCUGACGUUGAAAAGUCAUCGGAUGAGCUGUGGAUAGCGGUGAAAUUCCAAUCGAGCUCGGAGAUAGCUGGUUCUUGCCGAAAUAGCUUUAGGGCUAGCCUCAUUGAAGAGUUGCGGGGGUAGAGCACUGAAUGGUCUAGGGGCCAAUCAUGGUUACCAAAACCUAUCAAACUCCGAAUACCGCGGACUUGAUCAAUGGGAGUCAGACGAUGUGUGAUAAGAUUCAUCGUCGAGAGGGAAAGAGCCCAGACCACCCGCUAAGGUCCCAAAGUAUACGUUAAGUGGAAAAGGAUGUAAAGUUGCACAGACAAUCAGGAUGUUGGCUUAGAAGCAGCCACACAUUUAAAGAGUGCGUAAUAGCUCACUGAUCCAGGAACUUUGCGCCGAAGAUUUCCGGGGCUGAAACGUAUCACCGAAGCGAUGGACUCGAAAGAGUGGUAGGCAAGCAUCCUAUGUGGCGAGAAGCUGUACCGUAAGGAGCAGUGGACUGCAUAGAAGAGAGAAUGUUGGCAUGAGUAACGAGAGGCAGGUGAGAACCCUGCCCGCCGAAAACCCAAGGAUUCCUGAGGAAGGCUUGUCCGCUCAGGGUUAGUCGGGACCUAAGCUGAGGCCGAGAGGCGUAGGCGAUGGACAACAGGUGGAGAUUCCUGUACCACCGAAGGUUGUUUGAGAGAAGUGGGGACACAGAAGGAUAUGCAGAGCGCGCCGUUGGUUGAGCGCGUCCAAGCCUGUAGAGAGUCCGGGGAGGCAAAUCCCCCCGGAUGAUAAUCUCAAGGGGUGAUGGGGAGCGAAAUUUUUAGUAGCGAAGCUGCAGACUCCAAGCUGUCGAGAAAAGCCACUAUCGAGACCUGAGGUGCCCGUACCGUAAACCGACACAGGUGGGUGAGAAGAGAAUUCUAAGGCGAACGGGAGAACUAUUGUUAAGGAACUCGGCAAAAUAACCCCGUAACUUCGGGAGAAGGGGUGCCAAAGUGUGUGAGAUCUAUACGAAGGUAGCAUGCUUUGGUCGCAGAGAAUAGGCCCAAACGACUGUUUAGCAAAAACACAGGUCUCUGCUAAGUCGAAAGACGAAGUAUAGGGGCUGACACCUGCCCGGUGCUGGAAGGUUAAGGGGACAUGUUAGCUUUGGCGAAGCAUUGAACUUAAGCCCCAGUAAACGGCGGCCGUAACUAUAACGGUCCUAAGGUAGCGAAAUUCCUUGUCGGGUAAGUUCCGACCCGCACGAAAGGUGCAACGAUUUGGGCACUGUCUCAACAAUAGACCCGGUGAAAUUAUAAUACCAGUGAAGAUGCUGGUUACCUGCGACAGGACGGAAAGACCCCGUGGAGCUUUACUGUAGCUUGACAUUGGAUUUCGGUAUCGUAUGUACAGGAU
RNAcentral lists this ribosomal RNA (2150 nucleotides) under anaerobic digester metagenome. Its description in RNAcentral is "bacterial LSU rRNA". It matches the Rfam family "Bacterial large subunit ribosomal RNA", at positions 3 to 2144 of the family's 2925-position model. The record is from RNAcentral.